AGAGUUUGAUCAUGGCUCAGGACGAACGCUGGCGGCGUGCUUAACACAUGCAAGUCGAACGGAAAGGCCCUUCGGGGUACUCGAGUGGCGAACGGGUGAGUAACACGUGGGUGAUCUGCCCUGCACUUUGGGAUAAGCCUGGGAAACUGGGUCUAAUACCAAAUAUGACCGCGCACUUCCUGGUGUGUGGUGGAAAGCUUUUGCGGUGUGGGAUGGGCCCGCGGCCUAUCAGCUUGUUGGUGGGGUAAUGGCCUACCAAGGCGACGACGGGUAGCCGGCCUGAGAGGGUGACCGGCCACACUGGGACUGAGAUACGGCCCAGACUCCUACGGGAGGCAGCAGUGGGGAAUAUUGCACAAUGGGCGCAAGCCUGAUGCAGCGACGCCGCGUGAGGGAUGACGGCCUUCGGGUUGUAAACCUCUUUCAAUAGGGACGAAGCGCAAGUGACGGUACCUAUAGAAGAAGGACCGGCCAACUACGUGCCAGCAGCCGCGGUAAUACGUAGGGUCCGAGCGUUGUCCGGAAUUACUGGGCGUAAAGAGCUCGUAGGUGGUUUGUCGCGUUGUUCGUGAAAACUCACAGCUUAACUGUGGGCGUGCGGGCGAUACGGGCAGACUAGAGUACUGCAGGGGAGACUGGAAUUCCUGGUGUAGCGGUGGAAUGCGCAGAUAUCAGGAGGAACACCGGUGGCGAAGGCGGGUCUCUGGGCAGUAACUGACGCUGAGGAGCGAAAGCGUGGGGAGCGAACAGGAUUAGAUACCCCGGUAGUCC
RNAcentral lists this ribosomal RNA (771 nucleotides) under uncultured bacterium. RNAcentral's name for it is "bacterial SSU rRNA". It matches the Rfam family "Bacterial small subunit ribosomal RNA", at positions 8 to 796 of the family's 1533-position model. The record is from RNAcentral.